Molecule: long non-coding RNA, 1214 nt
Organism: Xiphophorus hellerii (green swordtail)
Lineage: Eukaryota; Metazoa; Chordata; Actinopteri; Cyprinodontiformes; Poeciliidae
Exons: 3
Source: RefSeq, a predicted model, not a curated record
CCAGAUGUUUCUGGCCAUCUGGGAGCGGGCGAUGAACACCCGCCAGAUGAAGACCACCAGCAGGGUGUUGAAGGUGUACCGGAUGUUUCUCAACCUGGAGGACAACCAAAAGACACCAAUAAGGAAGGCGUUCAGGCUGACCUUUCGGUCCUCGGGGGUCAGCUGGCCCAUCAGCAUGCUCAUGUUCUCCGAGUUCCACUCCCAGUCCUGGCUGCUGAAGUACUCCAGCAGGUGGAUCGCCUUGUGCAGCCGGUUGAAGAUGCGCAUCAUCCUGCAGGGAAGCACAAAACUUCAAUGAAGACAAACAUUUUCGUCACGGAGCAAACCGAGGAAACGGAUAUUUGCUGUUCUCACUGCGGCUUCUGUCCACACAGACGGAGGAAGAGGUCGUAGAUGAAGGCCGGGAACUUGUGGCUGACCAGGAUCCAGUACUGGUUGAUCAGAUAGAUCAAUACUCCAACCGCCAUAAAAAAACAAGAAGAAAAAGAGCGAGAGAAUGGCCAUCAGCUGAUUGGAGCAGCAGCACAUGCGGCGUUGUGUUACUUCCUGUGGUGUUUGCGGUGGGAAGCGGAGAGGAGCAGCACUUGUCAGCUUCACUUAGACUCCAUUAAAAAUGCAUGAAAGCGCUGCUAACAGACUGCUACAUGUGUGGAGGGGCCACUGGGGGCCAAAUAAACACGACGCACACAAACAGGCGUCUAAAUAAGAAGCCCGGUCCGCUUGCAGUGAGAGCCGGGCCCGUUUGAAGAGGCGGACCAGAGCCUGGCAAUGCUGCCACCAACAAGAUUAUACAAAUAUUAACUCUUAUUUUAUCAAACACCAAUUUUUAUUUAUUUAAUUUGAAAUGAAAGUUUUGUAUUAACUUUUAUUUAUUAAAAAAAUGUUCAUAACAUUAAUUUAAUAUCUAUUUUUUCUAUUUCUAUUUUUAAAUGUAUUGAUUUAUUUUCGUCAGUUUGAAUUUGCUUUUGAUUAAUUUCUUAAUUUUUUGGGUAAUUUAUAUUUUACUAAAUAAAAUAGUUGAUUAUUUAUCUUAGUUGAACUUACUGCUUUUAUUGUUUAUGUAUUUUUUAAAAUAUUUCUUUCUUUUGUCUGUUUAAAGAGUCGCUGCCAACUGCAGGCCAAUCAAUUUUUAUUUUUUCAAAUACAAAUGUUUAUAAUUUAUCAUCAAUUUUUAAAACAACAUUUUUACUAAUAUUUUUGUCUAUUCAGAAAAC